CCGGGCGCAAAGCGCGAUGAGGGGAUCCCAAGGGCCAGCUCGUAAAAGUUGGCUGUUUCUCUGUCUCCCCAUAAAAGAGAGUAAGGGCUGGGUAAGAGGGGUGCCAGCCCCCGCGGUAAUACCUGCAGCUCGAGUGGUGGCCGCUAUUAUUGGGCCUAAAACGUCCGUAGCCGGUUUUAUAAAUGCCUGGGUAAAUCGUGUGGCUUAACCAUACGAAUUCCGGGUAGACUGUUAAACUUGAGACCGGGAGAGGCUAGAGGUACUCCUGGGGUAGAGGUGAAAUUCUGUAAUCCUGGGGGGACCACCAGUGGCGAAGGCGUCUAGCUAGAACGGGUCUGACGGUGAGGGACGAAGCCCUGGGGCGCAAACCGGAUUAGAUACCCGGGUAGUCCAGGGUGUAAACGCUGCUUGCUUGAUGUUAGUUGGGCUCCGAGCCCAACUAGUGUCGGAGAGAAGUUGUUAAGCAAGCUGCCUGGGGAGUACGGUCGCAAGACUGAAACUUAAAGGAAUUGGCGGGGGA
Molecule: ribosomal RNA, 520 nt
Filed under: uncultured archaeon
Lineage: Archaea
Description: bacterial SSU rRNA
Rfam family: Archaeal small subunit ribosomal RNA
Source: RNAcentral